This 392-nucleotide ribosomal RNA is filed under the name uncultured bacterium. RNAcentral's name for it is "partial 16S ribosomal RNA". It matches the Rfam family "Bacterial small subunit ribosomal RNA", at positions 523 to 918 of the family's 1533-position model. The record is from RNAcentral.
AUACGGAGGAUCCGAGCGUUAUCCGGAUUUAUUGGGUUUAAAGGGUGCGCAGGCGGCCAUUUAAGUCAGCGGUUAAAUCGUGGGGCUCAACCCCAUUCUGCCGUUGAUACUGGGUGGCUUGAUUGCGGUCGAGGUUGGCGGAAUUCGUUGUGUAGCGGUGAAAUGCAUAGAUAUGACGAAGAACACCGAUUGUGUAGGCAGCUGACCAGAUCGCAAAUGACGCUCAUGCACGAAAGUGCGGGGAUCGAACAGGAUUAGAUACCCUGGUAGUCCGCACAGUAAACGAUGAAUACUUGUUUUCGGCGAUAUAAUGUCGGAGGCAAAGCGAAAGCGAUAAGUAUUCCACCUGGGGAGUACGCCGGCAACGGUGAAACUCAAAGGAAUUGACGGGG